Molecule: small RNA, 121 nt
Filed under: Phascolarctos cinereus (koala)
Lineage: Eukaryota; Metazoa; Chordata; Mammalia; Diprotodontia; Phascolarctidae
Description: TUC338 (ENSPCIG00000027051.2)
Source: RNAcentral
UCAUUCCAGGUUAUCAGGACAGGUACAAUACAGGUAGCAACAGUGUGAACUUUCCCCAGACCACUCCAUCACUGUGUUGCAACUUUGAACUGAAAGGGACCAUCUGUACCAAUUUGAAGAU